RNAcentral lists this ribosomal RNA (739 nucleotides) under uncultured bacterium. RNAcentral describes it as "bacterial SSU rRNA". It matches the Rfam family "Bacterial small subunit ribosomal RNA", at positions 33 to 773 of the family's 1533-position model. The record is from RNAcentral.
ACGCUAGCGGGAGGCCUAACACAUGCAAGCCGAGCGGUAUUUGUUCUUCGGAACAGAGAGAGCGGCGUACGGGUGCGGAACACGUGUGCAACCUGCCUUUAUCUGGGGGAUAGCCUUUCGAAAGGAAGAUUAAUACCCCAUAAUAUAUUUUACGGCAUCGUGGAAUAUUGAAAACUCCGGUGGAUAGAGAUGGGCACGCGCAAGAUUAGAUAGUUGGUGAGGUAACGGCUCACCAAGUCAGUGAUCUUUAGGGGGCCUGAGAGGGUGAUCCCCCACACUGGUACUGAGACACGGACCAGACUCCUACGGGAGGCAGCAGUGAGGAAUAUUGGACAAUGGGUGCAAGCCUGAUCCAGCCAUCCCGCGUGAAGGACUAAGGCCCUAUGGGUUGUAAACUUCUUUUAUACUGGGAUAAACCUACUUACGUGUAAGUAGCUGAAGGUACAGUAUGAAUAAGCACCGGCUAACUCCGUGCCAGCAGCCGCGGUAAUACGGAGGGUGCAAGCGUUAUCCGGAUUUAUUGGGUUUAAAGGGUCCGUAGGCGGAUCUGUAAGUCAGUGGUGAAAUCUCAUAGCUUAACUAUGAAACUGCCAUUGAUACUGCAGGUCUUGAGUGAGAUUGAGGUAGCUGGAAUAAGUAGUGUAGCGGUGAAAUGCAUAGAUAUUACUUAGAACACCAAUUGCGAAGGCAGGUUACCAAGUCUUAACUGACGCUGAGGGACGAAAGCGUGGGAGCAAAC